UACAUUGGUGCAGACAUUAGGUACACAGUCA
Molecule: non-coding RNA, 31 nt
Filed under: Rattus norvegicus (Norway rat)
Lineage: Eukaryota; Metazoa; Chordata; Mammalia; Rodentia; Muridae
Source: RNAcentral